This 500-nucleotide ribosomal RNA is filed under the name uncultured bacterium. RNAcentral's name for it is "partial 16S ribosomal RNA". It matches the Rfam family "Bacterial small subunit ribosomal RNA", at positions 30 to 523 of the family's 1533-position model. The record is from RNAcentral.
AUUGAACGCUGGCGGAAUGCUUUACACAUGCAAGUCGAACGGCAGCACGGACUUCGGUCUGGUGGCGAGUGGCGAACGGGUGAGUAACAUAACGGAACGUAUCCACUAAUGGGGGAGAACGAGACGAAAGAUUCGCUAAUACCGCAUACGCACUACGGGGGAAAGCUGGGGAGCUUCGGGCCUGGCGUUAAUGGAGCGGCCGAUAUCUGAUUAGCAAGUUGGUGAGGUAACGGCUCACCAAGGCGACGACCAGUAGCUGGUCUGAGAGGACGACCAGCGACACUGGAACUGAGACACGGUCCAGACUCCUACGGGAGGCAGCAGUGGGGAAUUAUGGACAAUGGGCGCAAGCCUGAUCCAGCCAUUCCGCGUGAGUGAAGAAGGCCUUCGGGUUGUAAAGCUCUUUCGCAAGGGAAGAAAACUUAGCCACUAACAUUGGUUGAGGUUGACGGUACCUUGAUAAGAAGCACCGGCUAACUACGUGCCAGCCGCCGCAGUAA